Molecule: RNase P RNA, 306 nt
Filed under: Oscillospiraceae bacterium
Lineage: Bacteria; Bacillati; Bacillota; Clostridia; Eubacteriales; Oscillospiraceae
Description: partial RNase P RNA component class A
Rfam family: Bacterial RNase P class A
About the family: Ribonuclease P (RNase P) is a ubiquitous endoribonuclease, found in archaea, bacteria and eukarya as well as chloroplasts and mitochondria. Its best characterised activity is the generation of mature 5'-ends of tRNAs by cleaving the 5'-leader elements of precursor-tRNAs.
Source: RNAcentral
CGAGCAAGCUAUGCGGUUGAACGCUUUUGCGUUAGGAAAGUCCGGGCAUCACAGAGCAGGGUAGCUGCUAACGGCAGCCGAGGGCGACCUUAGGGAUAGUGCAGCAGAGAUAUACCGCCGGUAUUUUUGCCGGUAAGGGUGGAAAGGCGAGGUAAGAGCUCACCGGAGUAAUGGAGACAUUACUGCCGUGUAAACCCUACCCGAUGCAACGUCAUUUUGGAGCAAUGGGUUAUUGUCUGCUCGGCAGGCUCAUUGUAACGACGGCUCGAGCGUUUCGGCGACGAUUCGCCAAGAUAGAUUUCCGCA